Molecule: long non-coding RNA, 670 nt
Organism: Ruditapes philippinarum (Manila clam)
Lineage: Eukaryota; Metazoa; Mollusca; Bivalvia; Venerida; Veneridae
Exons: 2
Source: RefSeq, a predicted model, not a curated record
UGUGUGCAGACUGUGUUGGUUUAAAGUCAAACCAACAGAACGAAGGUCUAAUGGCGAAGGGAGUCCUCGUGUGCUCUUUGCGUAUUAUUCCAGAUAGGAGCGGUUACAUGACCGAAUCCGAUUUAGAUAAUGGUAUCCGAAUCAAUAGAGGUGUGGGCAAGUGCCAUAGCAAGAUAAAUACGCUCCAGGCUGCUUUCAUAAUUGCGAGAGGACUUCCAGAGAUGAUCAUCAUUUGGGUACAAUAUUGCUCUUCAGUUGGUACAAUAUUGUUCUUCAAUUGGUGCAGUGAUGAUCUUCAAUUGUUACAGUGAUGAUCUUCAAUUGUUACAGGGAUGAUCUUCAAUUCAUUCCUCAGUUCAUACAGUGAUAGGAUUUAAACAAAAUACAGUAUAUGCAAUCUAAUCAAACAGAAUACUGUUGGUAUUAUAGUAACAAUAUUGGAGAGAUCAUUGAAAAGACGAAAUAUCUAACCGGGCAAGCCCAACAUUAGUUUCGAAGAAAUUCUUAUUUUUAUAUUAAAUGACGAAGAAAAUUUAAGCUUAAAGAAUAUAAAAUGUUGAUGUACAAUGUUUUUAACACACAUACAUGUAUAUGUAAGAAUCAAACAGUUCUUUCAAUAAAUUUAUAUCACAAUAAUAAAUACAAUCAGAAAAUCGAUCUGUGAAAACAA